AAAAGCUUGUCGGGGAGAUCUGAGUGCUUAGAGCAUCCCUUUAAAUCCUUUAACGAGGAUCCUUUGGAGGGCAAGUCUGGUGCCAGCAGCCGCGGUAAUUCCAGCUCCAAUAGCGUAUAUUAAAGUUGCUGCAUUUAAAAAGCUCGUAGUUGGAUCUUGGGAGCGGGCGGGCGGUCCACCGCGAGGCGAGCCACCGACCGUCCCCGGGCCUUGGGUGUGGGAACCCCCUCAAUGCUCUUAACUGACUGUCCCGCGGAGGCCAAAGGGUUUAAUUUGACAAAAUUAUACUGCUUAAGACUGUCUCCGAGCGGGGACGCAGGGGGUUUCGGUCAAAUAGAACUCUUCAACCCGGGCGGCGUGGUAUUGAGA
RNAcentral lists this ribosomal RNA (369 nucleotides) under Ancylostoma duodenale. Its description in RNAcentral is "SSU rRNA". It matches the Rfam family "Eukaryotic small subunit ribosomal RNA", at positions 486 to 860 of the family's 1831-position model. Lineage: Eukaryota; Metazoa; Nematoda; Chromadorea; Rhabditida; Ancylostomatidae. The record is from RNAcentral.